GACGAACGCUGGCGGCGUGCUUAACACAUGCAAGUCGAACGGAAAGGCCCUGCUUGCAGGGUACUCGAGUGGCGAACGGGUGAGUAACACGUGGGUGAUCUGCCCUGCACUUCGGGAUAGGCCUGGGAAACUGGGUCUAAUACCGGAUAGGAGCCAUUUUUAGUGUGAUGGUUGGAAAGUUUUUUCGGUGUAGGAUGAGCUCGCGGCCUAUCAGCUUGUUGGUGGGGUAAUGGCCUACCAAGGCGGCGACGGGUAGCCGGCCUGAGAGGGUGGACGGCCACAUUGGGACUGAGAUACGGCCCAGACUCCUACGGGAGGCAGCAGUGGGGAAUAUUGCACAAUGGGCGCAAGCCUGAUGCAGCGACGCCGCGUGGGGGAUGACGGCCUUCGGGUUGUAAACUCCUUUCGCUAGGGACGAAGCUUUUUGUGACGGUACCUAGAGAAGAAGCACCGGCUAACUACGUG
RNAcentral lists this ribosomal RNA (465 nucleotides) under uncultured bacterium. RNAcentral describes it as "partial 16S ribosomal RNA". It matches the Rfam family "Bacterial small subunit ribosomal RNA", at positions 28 to 507 of the family's 1533-position model. The record is from RNAcentral.